Molecule: ribosomal RNA, 597 nt
Filed under: uncultured Lachnospiraceae bacterium
Lineage: Bacteria; Bacillati; Bacillota; Clostridia; Lachnospirales; Lachnospiraceae
Description: bacterial SSU rRNA
Rfam family: Bacterial small subunit ribosomal RNA
Source: RNAcentral
CUAACACAUGCAAGUCGAACGGAACUGUUUGAAAGAUUUCUUCGGAAUGAAUUUGAUUUAGUUUAGUGGCGGACGGGUGAGUAACGCGUGAGUAACCUGCCUUCAAGAGGGGGAUAACAUUCUGAAAAGAAUGCUAAUACCGCAUGACAUAUUGGAACCACAUGGUUUUGAUAUCAAAGAUUUUAUCGCUUGAAGAUGGACUCGCGUCCGAUUAGUUAGUUGGUGAGGUAACGGCUCACCAAGACCGCGAUCGGUAGCCGGACUGAGAGGUUGAACGGCCACAUUGGGACUGAGACACGGCCCAGACUCCUACGGGAGGCAGCAGUGGGGGAUAUUGCGCAAUGGGGGCAACCCUGACGCAGCAACGCCGCGUGAAGGAUGAAGGUUUUCGGAUUGUAAACUUCUUUUAUUAAGGACGAAAAAUGACGGUACUUAAUGAAUAAGCUCCGGCUAACUACGUGCCAGCAGCCGCGGUAAUACGUAGGGAGCAAGCGUUGUCCGGAUUUACUGGGUGUAAAGGGUGCGUANGCGGCUUUGCAAGUCAGAUGUGAAAUCUAUGGGCUCAACCCAUAAACUGCAUUUGAAACUGUAGAGCUU